RNAcentral lists this ribosomal RNA (492 nucleotides) under uncultured bacterium. Its description in RNAcentral is "partial 16S ribosomal RNA". It matches the Rfam family "Bacterial small subunit ribosomal RNA", at positions 29 to 507 of the family's 1533-position model. The record is from RNAcentral.
AGUGAACGCUGGCGGUAGGCCUAACACAUGCAAGUCGAACGGCAGCACAGUAAGAGCUUGCUCUUACGGGUGGCGAGUGGCGGACGGGUGAGGAAUACAUCGGAAUCUACUUUUUCGUGGGGGAUAACGUAGGGAAACUUACGCUAAUACCGCAUACGACCUACGGGUGAAAGCAGGGGAUCUUCGGACCUUGCGCGAUUGAAUGAGCCGAUGUCGGAUUGGCUAGUUGGCGGGGUAAAGGCCCACCAAGGCGACGAUCCGUAGCCGGUCUGAGAGGAUGAUCAGCCACACUGGAACUGAGACACGGUCCAGACUCCUACGGGAGGCAGCAGUGGGGAAUAUUGGACAAUGGGCGCAAGCCUGAUCCAGCCAUACCGCGUGGGUGAAGAAGGCCUUCGGGUUGUAAAGCCCUUUUGUUGGGAAAGAAAAGCAGCAGGUUAAUACCCCGCUGUUCUGACGGUACCCAAAGAAUAAGCACCGGCUAACUUCGUG